Molecule: long non-coding RNA, 211 nt
Filed under: Lathyrus oleraceus (garden pea)
Lineage: Eukaryota; Viridiplantae; Streptophyta; Magnoliopsida; Fabales; Fabaceae
Description: Pisum sativum (pea) long non-coding RNA (PSAT_LNC010721)
Source: RNAcentral
ACAAGACUUUCUUGAGCACAAGGUCACCUUCUCGGAACACACGAGGCUUGACCUUCUUAUCAAAAGCUUUCUUCAUUCUCUGCUGAUAUAACUGACCAUGGCACGUGGCAGUUAAUCUCUUCUCUUCAAUCAAAUUCAGUUGGUCGUAACGACUCUGAAUCCAUUCAGCAUCAGUCAACUAGGGAUUUGAGGGUAUACUUUCUUUUAUUCU